This 491-nucleotide ribosomal RNA is filed under the name uncultured bacterium. Its description in RNAcentral is "partial 16S ribosomal RNA". It matches the Rfam family "Bacterial small subunit ribosomal RNA", at positions 28 to 507 of the family's 1533-position model. The record is from RNAcentral.
GAUGAACGCUGGCUACAGGCUUAACACAUGCAAGUCGAGGGGAAACGACGGGGAAGCUUGCUUCCCCGGGCGUCGACCGGCGCACGGGUGAGUAACGCGUAUCCAACCUGCCUCUGACUGAGGGAUAACCCGUCGAAAGUCGGCCUAAUACCUCAUGGUAUCGUCUGCGGGCAUCCAACGACGAUUAAAGAUUUCAUCGGUCAGGGAUGGGGAUGCGUCUGAUUAGCUUGUUGGCGGGGUAACGGCCCACCAAGGCUACGAUCAGUAGGGGUUCUGAGCGGAAGGGCCCCCACAUUGGAACUGAGACACGGUCCAAACUCCUACGGGAGGCAGAAGUGAGGAAUAUUGGUCAAUGGGCGAGAGCCUGAACCAGCCAAGUAGCGUGCAGGAAGACGGCCCUAUGGGUUGUAAACUGCUUUUAUGCGGGGAUAAAGUGAGGGACGUGUCCCUCAUUGCAGGUACCGUAUGAAUAAGGACCGGCUAAUUCCGUG